Pteronotus mesoamericanus is the source of this 355-nucleotide long non-coding RNA. RefSeq lists it as uncharacterized. The transcript has 3 exons. The record is from RefSeq and is a predicted model, not a curated record. Lineage: Eukaryota; Metazoa; Chordata; Mammalia; Chiroptera; Mormoopidae.
AACAUGAUCGCUGCCCCGUAAAUAUCAAUCUAAAUUAGCCUUUUAAAUGGAUUUGACAUUGGUAACAUCUUCUAUGUCAAGGACAGUAGAAUGUGUCAUUGGAGGAUAUACGUGGUAUGAGAAAUCAGCAUCCUAAAAAGACAAAACAGUUACCUAGCUCUAUCAGGGGUUUUUUCAGUCUCACUCAGUUCUCCCUGUGUUUUGUGCCUGGGAUUUACCAGGCUGAAUACACCACUCAGCUGCUGGGAAAAGCCUUCCUGAGGCUCACCUAGCCACCUCUUUCAUUCCUCCCUUUGUACAGAAGAAUAACAGGAGAAAAAGGACCACCCAACUAUGACAGAGUGUAAGGUGAGCA